GGGGUUGUGGUUCAGUGGUAGAAUGCUUGCCUAGCAUGUGUGAGGCACUGGGUUCGAUUCUCAGCACCA
This 69-nucleotide transfer RNA is filed under the name Urocitellus parryii (Arctic ground squirrel). RNAcentral's name for it is "Spermophilus parryii (Arctic ground squirrel) tRNA". It matches the Rfam family "tRNA". Rfam says of the family: Transfer RNA (tRNA) molecules are approximately 80 nucleotides in length. Their secondary structure includes four short double-helical elements and three loops (D, anti-codon, and T loops). RNAcentral also lists the same sequence under 1 other name. Lineage: Eukaryota; Metazoa; Chordata; Mammalia; Rodentia; Sciuridae. The record is from Rfam by way of RNAcentral.